AGGGCACCACCAGGAGUGGAGCCUGCGGCUUAAUUUGACUCAACACGGGAAAACUCACCCGGCCCGGACACUGUAAGGAUGGACAGAUUAAAAGCUCUUUCUUGAUUCAGUGGGUGGUGGUGCAUGGCCGUUCUUAGUUGGUGGAGUGAUUUGUCUGGUUAAUUCCGAUAACGAACGAGACUCUCACCUGCUAAAUAGCACGUUGGUAUUGGUGUUCUUUGUGGAAUGCCCUAGCCGACGCUGGCUUCUUAGAGGGAUACGCAGUAUUCAAACUGCACGAAAUAGAGCAAUAACAGGUCUGUGAUGCCCUUAGAUGUCCGGGGCCGCACGCGCGCUACAAUGACAGUAGCAGAGAGUAUUGAAACCUGGUCCGAAAGGAUUGGGAAAUCUUGGCAUUGCUGUCUCCUCAGGGAUUGAGAUUUGUAAUUAUCUCUCAUGAACGAGGAAUUCCCACUAGGCGCAAGUCAUCAGCUUGCGUCGAUUACGUCCCUGCCCUUUGUACACACCGCCCGUCGCUAC
Molecule: ribosomal RNA, 519 nt
Filed under: uncultured eukaryote
Lineage: Eukaryota
Description: bacterial SSU rRNA
Rfam family: Eukaryotic small subunit ribosomal RNA
Source: RNAcentral